Molecule: unclassified non-coding RNA, 163 nt
Filed under: uncultured Ascomycota
Lineage: Eukaryota; Fungi; Ascomycota
Description: sequence contains ITS1
Source: RNAcentral
CAGAGUUGCAAAACUCCCAACCAUUGUGAACUUACCUUACCGUUGCUUCGGCGGGUGGCCCCUACCAGGGCCGCGCCGGCCCCUCCCCGGGGCUGGCAACCCGUCAGAAGACUCACACUCUUUGUUAUCGUUGGCCUCUCUGAGUAACUUAUACAAUAAGUCA